AAAAGACUUAGUCCUAACCUUACCAUUAAUUAUCAUUAGACAUAUACAUGCAAGUAUCCGCGGCCCAGUGUAAAUGCCCUCAAUUACCCUAGCCCCUUAACAGGAAAGAGGAGCAGGUAUCAGGCACACCCCUCGUAGCCCAAGACACCUUGCUUAGCCACACCCCCACGGGUUUUCAGCAGUAAUUAACAUUAAGCUAUAAGUGCAAACUUGACUUAGUUAUAAUGACCCUAGGGCCGGUAAAUCUUGUGCCAGCCACCGCGGUCAUACAAGAGGCCCAAAUUAAUGGUACACGGCGUAAAGCGUGGAAAUAUGCUAUCUUGCCAGACUCAGACCAAAGUGUAUCCAAGCUGUCAUAAGCCCCAGAUAUACCUAAAACCCACAUAAAAAUGGUCCCAGCAUCAAAGAUCAAUUUACCCCACGAAAGCUAAGAAACAAACUGGGAUUAGAUACCCCACUAUGCUUAGCCCUAAAUCCAGAUGUUUACUUUACCAAAACAUCCGCCCGAGAACUACGAGCACAAACGCUUAAAACUCUAAGGACUUGGCGGUGCCCUAAACCCACCUAGAGGAGCCUGUUCUAUAAUCGAUACUCCACGAUACACCCGACCAUCCCUUGCCCUAACAGCCUACAUACCGCCGUCACCAGCCCGCCUAAAUGAAAGAAUAAUAGCGAGCACAAUAGCCAUACACUAAAAAGACAGGUCAAGGUAUAGCCUAUGGGAUGGAAGAAAUGGGCUACAUUUUCUAAAAUAGAAAACCAACGGAAGAGGAAAUGAAACCCCCUCAGAAGGCGGAUUUAGCAGUAAAGUGAAACUAGAAAGUUCACUUUAAGUUGGCCCUAGGGCACGUACAUACCGCCCGUCACCCUCCUCACAAGCAACACAACCCCAUACAUAAUUAACCACCACUCAAAAGCUGAAGACGAGGUAAGUCGUAACAAGGUAAGUGUACCGGAAGGUGUACUUAGCAUACU
This 975-nucleotide non-coding RNA is filed under the name Nothocercus julius. RNAcentral describes it as "12S ribosomal RNA". It matches the Rfam family "Bacterial small subunit ribosomal RNA". The record is from RNAcentral. Lineage: Eukaryota; Metazoa; Chordata; Aves; Tinamiformes; Tinamidae.